Molecule: long non-coding RNA, 1356 nt
Organism: Quercus lobata
Lineage: Eukaryota; Viridiplantae; Streptophyta; Magnoliopsida; Fagales; Fagaceae
Exons: 3
Source: RefSeq, a predicted model, not a curated record
UGUAAACACCACACUUAACCCUAGUUAAACAUUUAAACUACUUUAACUCAGGUUAAACACUUAAACUAGAGGCACUCAACCGGACAAACCACUGAAAAUGUUUCAGACUCUCUUUCAAACUCUCUCUCACCAAACCCAUAUGAAAAUUUCAAACUCUCUUCUCCAAGGAUUUUCUCUCUGCAUCCCACGUUCCUCAGUGUCGCCGGUGCCACCAGCCAUCGUGCCAAGCCACCGUUGUUGCAUGGGCUAUGUCUUACACCAACCUAGCAUCAGCGGAAAGUGCCGCCCACUUGCAGGCAUAGGCACUACCCAGCAUCACCGGACUGCUCCGCUAGAACAGUCACUGCCUACUUUUGGUUUUGAGCUUGGUGGGGUGUUUCAGAUUUGGGGGAUUUAUGGAUUGUUUUGAUCUAAAUUUGUUCUAAAAGCAAUGGGAUUUAUGUUUUGAUCUCUGUGUUUGUGAAAGAACCAUGUACUCCUCGAGAGGGAGCAAUGCGUUUGGGCAGCAACCGUAUGCGGCUCAAUUGGCUGUGUAUGGCGCUAGUAAAAUGAGUUGAAGCAGCUAGCAGCCAUCUAUUAAAAGUCUGAAGAGAAGGGUACAGAGCAGUGGUGACAUAAUCAAGCUCGACAUAAUCAAGCUCAUCCUUGUACCCCCUCCUUCGUGGUAGAUGGAAUAUGGAAUUUAAGAAACAGAGCUGUUUUCCAAGGCGAGAAAGUUAACAUUCGUGAAGCCUGCUUGCGGAUUCAAAGCAGAAUCAUAGAGUUCCGUACUGUAAUCCAGGCAGCCAACAAAGCUCAUUGCGCAUCUUCAUCCCAGGUUUGGAAGCCACCCUUGACUAGGUUCGUCAGGCUAAAUGUGGAUGCUGCAACUGGACCAUCAAGAACUGCACUAGCAGUAGUAGCAAGGAACUCCCUCGGCGAGGUGAUCAAAGUUUGGGCUAAACCUCACCAUAGCUGCACCCCCAUCCAAGUAGAAGCAAGUGCAAGGCAGUCAACCUAGCCUCUAAUGAAGGGUGGAAACAAGUAAUCAUAGAGAGCGAUUCCAAGAUGUGUAUGGAUUUACUGUCUGACAAUCCUUUUGUGCCUAACUGGGCCAUCAGCAAUGAUAUUGUUAAUAUCCUAAACUCUGCAUCAGUUUUUCUUAGUUACUCUUUUGUUUGGGUCCGUAGGUCUUGUAAUUUUGCAGCACAUAAUGCUGCAAAGCUAGCUUUGAAUUCUGCAUUACCUUUGUGAUUUGACAAGGAGAAUCUACCUGAGGUUAUCCUCUUUGCUUGUGUGGUAGACUCCUAUGCUGUAGUAUCUUCUUUUUCGUAUGAAUGACAUUGAAGUUUAGCAAAAAAAAAAAAAAAAAAAAAA